AGGAAAAGAAACCAACAGGGAUUGCCCUAGUAACGGCGAGUGAAGCGGCAACAGCUCAAAUUUGAAAUCUGGCGCAAGCCCGAGUUGUAAUUUGUAGAGGAUGCUUCUAGGUAGCGACCGGUCUAAGUUCCUUGGAACAGGACGUCAUAGAGGGUGAGAAUCCCGUAUGUGACCGGCCCGCACCUUCUACGUAGCUCCUUCGACGAGUCGAGUUGUUUGGGAAUGCAGCUCUAAAUGGGAGGUAAAUUUCUUCUAAAGCUAAAUACCGGCCAGAGACCGAUAGCGCACAAGUAGAGUGAUCGAAAGAUGAAAAGCACUUUGGAAAGAGAGUUAAAAAGCACGUGAAAUUGUUGAAAGGGAAGCGCUUACAACCAGACUUCUGGGCGGUGUUCCGCCGGUCUUUUGACCGGUCUACUCGCCGUCCCGAGGCCAACAUCAUCUGGGACCGCUGGAUAAGACCUCAGGAAUGUAGCUUCCCUCGGGAAGUGUUAUAGCCUGUGGUGAUGCAGCGCGUCUCGGGUGAGGUCCGCGCUUCGGCAAGGAUGUUGGCGUAAUGGUUGUCAGCGGCCCGUCUUGAAACACGGACCAAGGAGUCUAACAUCUAUGCGAGUGUUCGGGUGUCAAACCCCUACGCGUAAUGAAAGUGAACGGAGGUGGGAAGCGUAAGCUGCACCAUCGACCGAUCCUGAUGUCCUCGGAUGGAUUUGAGUAAGAGCAUAGCUGUUGGGACCCGAAAGAUGGUGAACUAUGCCUGAAUAGGGUGAAGCCAGAGGAAACUCUGGUGGAGGCUCGCAGCGGUUCUGACGUGCAAAUCGAUCGUCAAAUUUGGGUAUAGGGGCGAAAGACUAA
This 849-nucleotide ribosomal RNA is filed under the name Ramularia inaequalis. RNAcentral describes it as "eukaryotic LSU rRNA". It matches the Rfam family "Eukaryotic large subunit ribosomal RNA", at positions 54 to 934 of the family's 3401-position model. Lineage: Eukaryota; Fungi; Ascomycota; Dothideomycetes; Mycosphaerellales; Mycosphaerellaceae. The record is from RNAcentral.